Molecule: ribosomal RNA, 253 nt
Filed under: uncultured bacterium
Lineage: Bacteria
Description: partial 16S ribosomal RNA
Rfam family: Bacterial small subunit ribosomal RNA
Source: RNAcentral
UACGAAGGGGGCUAGCGUUGCUCGGAAUUACUGGGCGUAAAGGGAGCGUAGGCGGACAUUUAAGUCAGGGGUGAAAUCCCGAGGCUCAACCUCGGAACUGCCUUUGAUACUGGAUGUCUUGAGUGUGAGAGAGGUGAGUGGAACUCCGAGUGUAGAGGUGAAAUUCGUAGAUAUUCGGAAGAACACCAGUGGCGAAGGCGACAUACUGGAUCAUUACUGACGCUGAGGUGCGAAAGCGUGGGGAGCAAACAGG